Molecule: long non-coding RNA, 1319 nt
Organism: Ostrea edulis (European flat oyster)
Lineage: Eukaryota; Metazoa; Mollusca; Bivalvia; Ostreida; Ostreidae
Exons: 5
Source: RefSeq, a predicted model, not a curated record
CAAAAUUUCACUCAUGGAGACAUCAUCAAUUCCGGCGAAGGGCUGCAAAAUUUAGGUCUAUGCUCGGCGCUUAUGGCCUUUGAGCAGGGAGGGAUUUUUAUCUUGCCACAAAACAUUCUUGGGAAAAGGGGAUUCAUGUUUGUUCAAAUGAAGCAGCGUGUCAACUUGAAAGGGGUAAUUAUACAGUGAAACUUCUCCAAAUCGGCCCCUCAGAAAACCAUUCCUCUCUGAAUAUCGCCCAAUUCUUAAAGUCUCUGUAGGAAUCUUAACAUAUCCUUUCAAAGAAAUUCAUAUAGUCCAAAAUGUGACUUAUCGAGAUUUCCGCCAUUUUUGACAAGGGACUUCUGGGAUGAUCCUCAGUUAAAGGUUCAGAUUUAGCUCGGAUUAUUCUGUGCUCUUUAGUCAUUGGACCUUGCAGUAUGAGCCAGAGCACUGCGCUCGCUAUUAGUAUGCAAGUAGCUGCAUUUAAUUCAAAUUGAAGUUGAACACAAGGACCCCAGGGGUAGGGUGGGGGCAGAAUAUGGAAUCAGAGUUUUAUAUGGUAAUAUGCAGAAAAUUUAUUAAAACAAAGACUUUUCAAGAGUAGCAGGGCCACACUAAAUCAUAUCCAAAUGCAAAUGUCCCCAAGUUGUGUGAAAACAAGGUUUUUUUAUGACCCUGACUAAGGAUGGGGUGGAAUUGUUUUUGUCCUGUCUGUCUGAAAUUUUAACCUUCCUCAUAACUUUUAAAUAAUGAGCAAUGGGGCUCUCAUAUUUGCAUUCUUUUUUAUAGCCAUAAAGUCUUUCACCUCGUGACCUUGACAUUAGAGUUUCAUCUACUGACCGGUUUAGCUUUCUGGACCUUAAAAGAUGUUGACACCCUGCUGAUGGAGCAGAUCCUAUUUCUUAGAAGCAGAAAGCAGUUCUCUUACCAUCAGAUCUGAUCCAUUUUUGGAGAUAGCCUUUUGUAUGGAGCUGGGUAACGGUUACUGGAGACAUGCUGUUGAUUGAUGAGGAUAAUUUUCCCGAGACUCUGACAUAUUGCAGGACCUGGAUAGCUCUACUGGUGUUCAAAAUGCCAGGACUGUGGAGUGUUGUGAUGUUAUUGAUGGUCAACAGAAGACUGUGACCUUGAAUCUGAAGAUCUGUGAUGAAGACUGGACGUUUGGGGUCACUCUCUGUUACAGUACUACAAAUCUAACAGUGUGACGCUCAGCCACAAAGAGGUUGUCUCUGAUGUCCACACAUAAACCGAAUGGAGACUCUAAAUAACAGUGAAUGUAACGGAGGAACUGUCCGUCCUGAUCUAGGAUGUGGAUACGGUCAUUGUCAAAGUCUGCU